UUGGAGGGCAAGUCUGGUGCCAGCAGCCGCGGUAAUUCCAGCUCCAAUAGCGUAUAUUAAAGUUGUUGCAGUUAAAAAGCUCGUAGUUGAAUUUCGGGAUCAAAUUGUCGGUCGUGCCUCGGUACGCACUGGUAUUAUUGGUUCCUACCUUCUGAAGAACCGCGAUGUCAUUAAUUUGGUGUCGUGGGGAAUCAGGACUGUUACUUUGAAAAAAUUAGAGUGUUUAAAGCAGGCUUACGCUUGAAUACAUUAGCAUGGAAUAAUGAAAUAGGACGUUUGAUUCUAUUUUGUUGGUUUCUAGGAUUGACGUAAUGAUUAAUAGGGAUAGUUGGGGGCAUUAGUAUUCAAUUGUCAGAGGUGAAAUUCUUGGAUUUAUUGAAGACUAACUACUGCGAAAGCAUUUGCCAAGGAUGUUUUCAUUAAUCAAGAACGGAAGUUAGGGGAUCGAAGACGAUCAGAUACCGUCGUAGUCUUAACCAUAAACUAUGCCGACUAGGGAUCGGAUGAUGUUAAUUUUUUAAUGACUCAUUCGGCGCCUUACGGGAAAC
Molecule: ribosomal RNA, 548 nt
Filed under: uncultured Glomeromycotina
Lineage: Eukaryota; Fungi; Glomeromycota
Description: SSU rRNA
Rfam family: Eukaryotic small subunit ribosomal RNA
Source: RNAcentral